GAUGAACGCUGGCGGCGUGCCUAAUACAUGCAAGUCGAGCGAACGGACGAGAAGCUUGCUUCUCUGAUGUUAGCGGCGGACGGGUGAGUAACACGUGGAUAACCUACCUAUAAGACUGGGAUAACCUCGGGAAACCGGAGCUAAUACCGGAUAAUAUUUUGAACCGCAUGGUUCAAAAGUGAAAGACGGUCUUGCUGUCACUUAUAGAUGGAUCCGCGCUGCAUUAGCUAGUUGGUAAGGUAACGGCUUACCAAGGCAACGAUGCAUAGCCGACCUGAGAGGGUGAUCGGCCACACUGGAACUGAGACACGGUCCAGACUCCUACGGGAGGCAGCAGUAGGGAAUCUUCCGCAAUGGGCGAAAGCCUGACGGAGCAACGCCGCGUGAGUGAUGAAGGUCUGCGGAUCGUAAAACUCUGUUAUUAGGGAAGAACAUAUGUGUAAGUAACUGUGCACAUCUGGACGGUACCUAAUCAGAAAGCCACGGCUAACUACGU
RNAcentral lists this ribosomal RNA (496 nucleotides) under uncultured bacterium. RNAcentral's name for it is "partial 16S ribosomal RNA". It matches the Rfam family "Bacterial small subunit ribosomal RNA", at positions 28 to 506 of the family's 1533-position model. The record is from RNAcentral.